Molecule: long non-coding RNA, 11380 nt
Filed under: Hordeum vulgare
Lineage: Eukaryota; Viridiplantae; Streptophyta; Magnoliopsida; Poales; Poaceae
Description: long non-coding RNA (HVUL_LNC006037)
Source: RNAcentral
GGGAUGAUGGCGAGGGUAAAGCUCACCAACAAGUUGCAGCAGUCAUCCAUGUGGUUACUUCUUGACUUCAUCGUUCCUAUCCGGGGAGUCUCCGCCCUCGCGCUUUGGACAGACACUCAUUCAUAUGUGGUGGACUUUACUACUGACACGCAGCACUAGCAAACCUCCACGAUACAAGAUGUCAAAGAUUUUAUGCUUGAUAUUACUUACGAAAUGAGGUAUCCAAAUAUAUUGGGCGCCGUGAAGAAUGUAAAUUCCAAUUUAUUAUGAAUAAAAUAAAAUAGUGAAUUUCUAUUUUACCUCCAGUUUGUGAUUUUGUGAUGUAAUCACCACAUUUAAUUUUGGGAAACUUUCCAAACUAACCGAUCGAUCUAGUGCUGGAUCAGUCGCACCACUCACUCGCUUGUGGCCCCCGUACAUCCACAAAUGGAGGUGGGGCCCACCCCACGGUCCGCGUCUAAUAUUUUCUUACGACUUUACGCGUAUUUUAUUGCAGUUGAUUUUCUCAAUUGCGUCACAACCAUUUAUUCCUCCCAAAAACUCUCUCUCAUGUGUCUUUCACCUCAUGCAUAGCAUCUCGCCUAUGAUGGUCCCCGCCAACAUGCAAAUCUCACCAGCGUAUGGUUGCCUCCUGUUAGGGGGCACGCUCACCGCUGCAAAGGAUGACGAGAGGCUGUUGCAAGCCUAGGUCAAGCGCUCGUGCGGCUCCCAUUCCGCAUGGUUGUAACAACGAUGGUUGCGGCUGUGACGUGAAUGCUGUUGUCCAUGGUAGGCGAAUCAGUGUCGCGACCAUGGUUUUCACUUUCGUUGAUAUUUUAAUGAAAUUCACCGAAUUUCAUUAAUUCCAGCUGUUACUGAAAUAACUUCUGCCCAAAAUAUUUCAGCAAUUUUAGUAGUACACAUGAAUUUAAAUAUUUUUCAAAAAUAAGUUGAGCUAAGAUCAAAUAGUCAAUUGACUUCAAGUGAAUAUUUCAGCCUUUUGGUCAAAACAAGAAUUGAAAUCACCGAAAUUCACUACAUUUCAGUGAUUUCAAUUAGUGUUGAUUUUUCUUUUUCUGAAAGUGAAAUUGAGAACUUUGGCUACGACUUUGCGGUGGCAAAUGGUGCCGAAAACAAACCGAGGGCGGGAGGCGUGUGCAUCCCUACAAGGCGAUGAUUUCCGCAAGAGCAGGGGCGAAGUGUUGUGCCUCAUGUGUGUCGGAAGGUGGACAUAGAGAGGCAAGAUCCGAUAUCUCACAACGCAGGAAUCGGAUGGCACGAGAGUUGACCGAUCAGUGUGACACCGAGUCGAAUAACGGCUAAGCUUUCCUUUAAUUUUCCAUGUUACAUUCUACCCUGAAUUUGUGUCGUGGUUUCAAAAUUUAACCCAUUUAGCUAUUUACACCGUCCUAACAGCCUGCAAUCACACGCGAGGUCAUGCAUGUGAACUCAGGUGCCAACUCAAAAACAUUUUUUAGUUUCCCACUUCCUCAUGACCCUCCAAGGUAGCUGACACGCAGAGGCAGCACAACCCAAUGCCCGCACAACUUCACUCGGUGGUGCGAGAGCAAGUCAUCCUAUAGAGACGCCCCAAAUGCCAUAUGCUUUAGGAUGAUGUCUAUCAUGUUUUAUUCAUGAGAAUUUGAAAAAAAUGUUAUGUUUAAAUAUAUAUUUUCAACUUUAAAAUUUAUGAAUUUAAAAUGACGCUACAUUGUGCGAGGUUGGAACAUGAAACUUCAAUUAUACUGGUGCGGAAGUGGGUUUGAAAUAUAAGGUAAAUAGAAAGAAAAAACAAAUAUAAAGUCUGCAAUUUUAGGAAUUCUGAAAUGGAAUGAGGCUCUAAAACGUUUUAAGGAAUCCGAAAGAAGUAAAUUGGCACUUGCAGUCAUAGAAUUUAUGGGAUGAGUGCAGUUUAGUCACCCUCAACUUGAAAACUAGAAAAUGUGGUAACAUAACUUGAGCUUCGGUGCGGUCAGAUAAUUUGAGCUUCGAGUGUAGAUAGGUCAUAUUUAACUGAAUUUGUUAGUUUUAUUGCAAGAAACCCCUAAAUUUUCUAGCAUUUUUUUUGGAAAUAUAGACUCUCCCUUCUAGCGACUGCUCUGAUGUAGUUGACGUGCAAGACCUAUCGAUGAAAUUCAAAUUGUUCUUGUGUAAAAGAGCGUGCGACGGUGACGGUCCACGCAGCAAAGCGACAUAUUCACUGGAUGCGGAGAAGGAGAUGCCUCAUCUCUAUUCCUUAGGUUAAAAGGCUACCGAAGGGUGGAGGGACAUACAACAAUGCUUAGAAGAGCUCGGGCUUGCCUCUAAAGGUAACUCGGGAGAGAGAGGGAUACAUACGACAUCCUAUUCAUCGCACAAAUGGCCACCAAGGCUCUUGAGGAUUGAAAGAGGCAACACUUAAAACAAAACCAGACGGUGAUCCCAUGACUUGUUCAUCACCAAACCUAUUACUCUUGGAGAUUUGCAACACCUACAUGAUUGGAGUCCAGCAUGGAAUUAGCUUCCUUGCUUUUGGUGUGUUCUGGGAAGUUUGUAAAGGUCUAGUGGUUGCCUUGAAGAACAACCACUAGUGAUUUCAGGCUCAUCCAUUGGGGGUGAUUCAAAAGGAGAAAGGGGGUGAAUCAUUUAGUGGUGUUUGGGAAGUCUUGGCUCUCGCACCUAUCAAACGGAGGUUAACACUCCCAAAAAAUAGAAACUUCGGGAUACAUCCUCGUGUCCAACUUGUGUGGUUAAUACAUAUCCGUAUCUUUAUUUCCUAUGUUUGAUAGUUAGCUUUGUAUAUAGUUUAUCCGCAUUACCCCUUAGACUGGAAGAAAAACUAAAAUCCGGUAGUUCUUUUCACUCCCCUCUAGUCUAAAGGGUGGCUGUGUGGGCAGCAUAAUAAUCAGUAAAUUGUUUUUUUAUAUGCACAUGAAAAAAAUGAUUGUUUCAGAGUGUUCUCCAUUUGCUAUUAGCUGAUACAAUAUUGCCAUACCGUUUUCUCAAUGUGGUUCAUGCCUUAAAUUACUUUGUAUUGCUUUUGGGGGAAAUUGUAUACCAAGAACAUUUCCUAAAGCAUCUAUAUUCAAGUUGACGUUAUCCUUUUUGAUUUGGUAUCAGUUGGGUAGAAUUUCAAUCUUAGGCAGGAGGUGGACUAUUUUGACAUGUAGUGAGAUAUAUGGUAAAAACAUGGCAAACAGUUUCAACGUUGUUAAAUGGUUUUCUUUUGAAGCAAAUGCCUGAUGGAAUAAAUAAAAACAGAAAGCAAUAGAUAACAAGUAGAGUAAUAUUAGAGACAAACUACAUCAAUUUAACAAUGAUUAGUUUCGGCAAUUUAACGAAACAGGAUCCGGCUGCAAACUUUAUAACUAGAGAUGAAAAUGGAGCGAAAACAGAUGGAACUGGGUGCUACCAGAUUUGUUUUCAUAUUUUUUUACAGAAACAGAAACAAAUACAGAAACCCCGAAAAUGAAUAUGGAAACAAAUAUUACCGAAAACAGACACAAAGUGAAUACAUAGCGGACACGGAAACAUAAGUGAGCAUUGUCCGGAAAUUUAAAACCCCUUAAGUGGUGUAGACAUAAACAUAAAAUCCAAAAUAUAAUGAAAUCUUACCAUGGCUAAAACUAAUAUGAUUAUGUUGGCACCUUAGCAUAGUAUAGUCGUAGUAGUACUGAACAAUUGUGUAUAGGGGUCUAGUUAAGUACAUAUGUGAUAAUUGGGCCUCAAAUGAUCCGUUAUGAUUAUUGUGUCAUUGUGCGUUAUUUGGUAGUUAGGCUACAAAGCUGCCAUAGGCUUAUACAAAAAUUAGAAAUUUUAUAUCCGCGUAAACGAAAAGUUCCCUUUCCACCUUUUUUCCACCGGAAAACAUUGUUCCGUUUUUUUUCCGUUUCCGCAUAAAAUAUUCCAUUUCCAUUUUUAUAUUUCCUUUUAUUUUCAUUUUUCCACCAGAAAAGCAGAAAGUUUUCACUCCGUCUUAAUCUCUAUUUAUAACCACAUAAAAUUAGCAUAACACAUAAUGUUCAACACCAUGAUCAACUGCGCAAAGCUUGAUAAACUUUGGAGACUUAGCAUUUGACUCUGUCCUUCACGCAGGGGCCUUGCAUGGUUUUAUCAGCCCACUCACGCAGCCUCGCAUGGGCCUUGCAUUGCAUCACCUGGACAGUGGCUUCACAGGCUCAAGGCCGCUAUGACCAUGUGUCUCUGAAAAUAGUAAAUGUGUCCCAAACAAAACAGCUAUCGAAUUCCCCUGGAAAAAAAACCUGACAUCCAAUACUAGGUUGAAAAGAAAUACGAUCAAAUGUUUAUAUAUAGGGGAGUGAUCUGCGCCGGUGCGCCGGCCGAAACUUUCGGCCGACCGCGCGCGGGCCGCACGAUCCAUCACCCCCUGCGCGUUUGCAUCGUUGAAUCUCCAUGCAAUAUUUUUUCUCCCGAUGAAGCCAAAUCCGCCGCGAUGCAACAUUUUUUUUCAACGGUUGCAACAAAAAAAAUGUAGCAAAAAAAUAUCUACGUGAUCGUAGCAAAAAGACAAAUCUGAUGAUGCAUGGUAACAAAAGUCAAACGCCGGUUGUAACACAUAUCUACGUGAACGUGUAUGCAACUUUUUUAAUGAACGGUUGUAGCAAAAAAUAAUGCUGGUUGUAGCAAAAAUUAACACGGUUGUACCAAAAGUAAAACAUCGAUUGUAACAAAAAUCCGACGAACUGGAGUUGCAACCAACGGUAUAUGCAGCUUUUUUUACUGGACAAAAUAUAGUAAAAAACGCUUGCAACAAAUAUGACGCUGGUUGCAACAAAUUUAGACGAAAAAUGUUACAUCCACUGACCAGCGAAGCGCGCGCGUGCGAAAAAUGUUGCAUGGACCCGCGCGCACGAGGGAGCGACCGGCUCGUCGGUUCGGCCGACGCACCGUAUGGAAACGAUUCCCUUAUAUAUAUGACGAAAACGAGUUUUCCCCCGCUUUGUAUUACAAAGCAACCAAUCAAAACAUUCGAUGAUAGGUGCUGGGACGAAAACAACACAGUCACGCCCAAAAGAAAUGAAAAAGAAAAUACAAAGGAAACAAAUGCCAACACAGGCGGAUUGACAGAAACACAAAAGACUCGCGACCGCUGCGCCCAUCAAGAGUCUUUCACCAAGCUCUAGGACUCCGAAGCGUCGGUACCAUCAGCACCUCCAAGAAGGAAUGCAACGAUGACGACUCUGUUGUCAAGGGUUUCCCUCGAUACGCGACGAGGCGAGAGGAAGGGUAGCCCCGACGCCCUCGAGGAAGGUUCGGCGACACCCAAGGGCGUCACCGCGUCAGUGUCUGCCGGGCCGACAGGGGUUCCCCCGAUCCCAACCUGCACCUCGGGCGCUCCGGAGCCUGCCACCAAACCACCUGACACCCUGCACUAACACGGUCUUGAGGCCCAUGCGCUGUCUCACCACGACACCGUAAGGAGAAGCCUACACAAUUAUGAAGAGGAGCCGGGACAAGGAGCAGCAGCACCGUCGGCACGCGGGAGGGCUUAACCUCCACCGUCAACAACGGUAGCCGAUCGGACGCAAUAGUAGGAGCAUACCAGGCCCGUGAGCUCACAUGCCAGCCCGGGACCUACCCCCGUAAACCUCCCGUCAUCACGCUGCAACAGGCAUGCCGUCGGCAACGCCACCCCCUGUCCAAGCUGCUCCGCCUCACCACCAUGCAGAAGCCACUGCAAUCACGCCGAGAGCCGGCCCGCUAGGACCCAGAUGGGCCCUAGAUGGCCUAAAUCUGGGCCAAGGGCGCGCCGCCAACCACCCCGCACCACCACGCCGCCCUGCCGCCAAGGAGCAUCGCCGCCACCUCAUCCGUCANCUCGACAAAGUUUUUCGUCUCCAUUAGUGAGAUUUUUAAAAAUAAAGCAAACGAAGGAUCGGUAGGCUUUAGCUACGACCAUGUGUCCUAAAAAAGGCUACGACCAUGAGCAGGAUGGGAAUCUAGAGCUCAUGACCUGUAGCUAUAAUUAUUAUGGCAAUAACCAACUGGGCUAGCUGCUCUUGGUAACCGGGCACAAUUUGUUUUUCAUUUUCUUCAUAUAUGUAGUAGCAAAAAAAGAAAGAACUUCCCUUUCCUUUUUCUAUUUUGCAAAAAUAAUCAACAGAGCUAGCUAGCUUGCUACUCUUUGUGAAUAGAUACCAUCUGGGCUAGCUACUCCAUAUAUAACGGUUGGCGAAGUGGAAACAUGUGUAAUCUACCGUUGGUUAUUUAUACUGUUGUAUUUCCAUAAUACUUAAAUAGCAAAAGGGCCCGUGCGUUGCAACGGAAGAAAAAAAAUUACAAUCUCCAAUGGUGCUGAUCAUAUUAUGUCUUUAAAAUUUUAGGACAUUUCUUGAAAUGCAUGGACAUUUUUUGAAUUAGCAAGCAUUUUUUUCAGUUGCACUCAAAAAAUAAUACACAAUAUUUUUAAAAAUCGUGGACUUUUAUUGUUUUCACCAACAUUGUUCUCUAAAUUAUGAACAUUUUUUUGAAUAUGCGAAUAUUUUUACAAAAAUCCCGAGCAUUUUUUGAAUUCACAAACAUUUUAUGUUUUUAUCAAACUUUUAUUUCAAAAUUCUCAGUUUUAUAAAUUGCAAAAGUUUUUGAAAGUUCUAAAUUAUUUAAAUUAAAAAAUGGAACAAAAAAAGAAAAUAAAAAACGAGACUAAAAACAGAGGCACGAAAAAAAGAUUUUCACACGGACUUUUGUUCAAAAUCAUUGACUUUUUUUAUUUUAUGGACAUUUUUUCAAAUUUAAACAUUUUUUGUAUAUGCAAACAUUUUUCAAAACUCCUGAGUAGUUUUUGAAUUCUCAAAAAAAUAUAUGUUUUUUUGAAUAUUUGAUUUCGAAAUUCUCAGUUUCUUAAAAUUGAUUUUUUUUAUUUUAAGUUCUAAAUUAUUUAAAGUAGAAAAACAAAAUGGAACUGAAAAUAAAAAUAAAAAACUAAACUAAAAAAACAGGCGCCCACGCAUGGGCCAGCCCAAACAAGUGUGCUGCAUCUUUUUCUAACGCCCAGAGCGUAAUAUAGGAGGUGCCUACAUGGUCGGCCCAGUUAGAAGAUUUUCCUGGUUGAAACGUUUUGGGUGACUUGUGGCAUUGGUGGGUAAUUUUAGCCAACUUUAUGAGCAAUUUAAAUAACCUAUUGUAGAAGCAGUAUUUGCUUUAUUAACUCCAAAGUUAUAGGUCCUUAAUCACCAUGACCACAUAAGAAAUCGCGUAGAAGAGAAGAGCAAGUACUGGAUUAAUCGGAUUUAUUCAUAAAAGAUAACCACCUUCUAUAACGAAAAUCCAAGCCUCCUUCCGGGCUCAUUUGUUCCCCGGUCAGAAAAAAUUUCAAAACAAAUACGUUAGAUAUUUUGAUGUGUGAGGCGCGCUUCAAAUUUUAACUUAUUUAGACAUCUGGGCAGCUCUCAACAAAAAAGACAAAUCGGAGUAUGUCAUAUGGCAACUCAUGCAUGUAAUUCAUUACUCUAUGCAUCUUUUGGAAAAAUAGCUAGUGUGUUCUAGCUAUUUAAAAAUAGAAAAUUGUCUAAAUACGAACCUAGCAUCCAUCGAUUGAUGCCGCUGCAGUAACACAUGAGUAAUUCUAUCUGCACUCUUUUCCUUUUGGCCAAAUUCACAAUAAAUAUAAGAGCGUUUAUAGAUCAUUAAAGUAGAUAAAGUAUUGUACGAAGUACUGGGAUUUACAGUUAACUCUCGGUAGCCGAAUUAACCUUGGCAAGGGCAAACCUCAAAUUUCCAUACACUAUUUCCUGAGCCACUAUGACCGUAGAAGAAACAUGGAAACAUAAAUUCGGUGUGAUAACUGUAGGUAGAGGGCAAGGGAAAUCUCUGAUCAUUACAGUAAACAUUUAUAUAUAAAUAGCAAAAUGGCCCGUGCGUUGCAACGGAAGAAAAUAAUAAUCUUCAAUGAUGAUGACCACAUUAUAUUCACACAUCAUAGCUUAAUUUUGAAAUUUUGUGCACAAAUGCAAGAAAAUGUUUCUUCUUUUAAAUCUAUUCACAAGUUGAAGCAAUCUUUACAUUAUUUUUAAAAAACAUCAUGGUUGUCAAAAAUCUUGGUAACUCCAAGAAUUAUUCUUAAUUUCAAGAAUUUCUUUUAGAAAACAUACAAUAAUAAUCCGAUCCAUCCAACAGUUAAUUCUUUUAAAAUCAUACGGGUAUAUUUUCACAAAGACUUAGAAGCAUUAAUGUUUAACUACAUACAUUAGAUCUUUCAUGAUUUUUUUUACAAAUAUGCGAACAAUUUUAAAAUCGAGAACAUUUUUUACAAUUUACAAACAUUUAAUAAAAAUCAUGAAUAUUUUUUAUAUUUCAAACGGGUUUAAAUAUUUUCUUUUGAAUUGGCGACUAUUCUAGAAAAGACGAACAUAAGUUUUGAUGUUGGAGGAUUUUAAUUUAAAUUCACAAACAUUUUUGAAACGCAUGAAGUUUUUUUGAAUAAACAAACAUUUUUAUAAGUCAGUAAUAUAUUUAUGAAAUUCACGGACAUUGUUUUGGAAUUUGCAAAAAACAUUUAUAAAAAUCUGGCGCCUUUUUUGAAUCCAGAAUUUUUUUAUAUAUUCGUAAACAUUUUAAUUCAAAAUUCCUAUUUUUUAAUAUGCAAAUGCUUUUGUAAUUCUAUAUUAUUUAAAUUAGAACUAAACAAAAAUGGAACGGAAAAAUGUAAAUAACAAACGAAAAUUUUCAAAACAGGCAUUAGCUAUUUUUAAAAUUUUAGGACAUUUUUUAAAUGCAUUAACAUAUUUUGAAUUAGAAAGCUGUUUGUUAAAUGCGUUUAAUAAUUUUUAGUACAUGAUGUUUGAUUUGAAAUCAUGGACUUUUCUUAUUUUACAAACAUUUUUUCAAACUUGCAAACAUUUUAUUGUAUAUGCGAGCAUUUUUUACAAAAACUCCGAGCAGUUUUUGAAGUCACAAACGUUUUAUUUUUUAAAUAUGUUGAUUUAAAAUUUAAAGUUUUAUUAAAAAUUUAAAAGUUAUUUGAAGUUAUAAAUGAUUUAAAAUAGAAAAAUAAAAUGGAACUGAAGAGAAAUAAAUAAACGGAAAUAAAAUAACUGGGCCUGUGCAUGGGCCGGCUCAUACGGUGUGCUGGAUAUUCUCCCAGGAUGCAGAGUUUAAUAUAGGAGGUUUUUACAUGGGCCGGCCCAGUCAUAGAUUUUUCGCCUUGUGAAACGUUUUCUAUUACUUACCGGUGGCACGGUGGGCAAUUUAUGCAAACUUUAGGGGCAAUUUCCAUGACGUACCACGAAAGCAAUAGGUGCUUUAUUAAUAGGUAAAGAUAUUACGUUGAACACACGGGUAUUUUUGCUAUCUUUAUAUAUACUCCUUACUAAUAAUAAAGUAAGGUGUGUUCCUCUUAAUUUUUAAUCCGUUCACUGUAUAGAAUUAUUUUCUUCCAUAACUAUCUGAAGUGAUGCUAAAAUUUUGUCCAUCCAGGGAUAAAUAAAUUUUUGGACUGGGUCUCCAAACCGUGCAGUGAAGGGCCUGCUCCGCAUCUUUUUUAUUCGAUUGGGCCACAAGAAGUUGGUCCCGUUACCCUAAUAAAAAGGAGUUGGUCCUCAACAUGGGCCCAAGAGGCCUAAAAAUUACCAACCCAAUAAGUCGUCUCUUCCUAUUAGAAUUGUAAAUAGAACCAUGUCACCCAUGAAAACAAAUCCAUCUAUUAAUAUACAUCUUGGAGUUAUCUGUUAUUAAUCAACUCAACAAGUUGGCUUGGGAAGCAAUAAACUGAGGAUGAUGACGAUGGUCUGAGAAGCAGAGAAUGAGUCCCAUUAAAGUAAGGAACGAAUAUGCUGUUGUAUAUGGGCUAAUUACGUGGUGCACAAUAACAUAGCUUUCCACAUAAUUAAAGGAGGUUGCAUGAUGUGUGCACGGGAUUCAAUUAGCAAUGGGUAAUUAAACAGCGGUGGACGAAAGGUUAAAUUGAUGCAUGGGGAGAAGAAGUAGGAAAAUAGGGCGGGACAGAUGGAAACAAGUGGACGCAUGAGAACGUGUAACACGUUCUCCUGCUACAACGCACGAUUAUUUGUGUUAGUAGUGCAUAUGCGCAUGCUUACACAAGAUGGUGUCUCUUAAUAUGAGCUACCUAAGCGAAAGCGGACGUUUGGAGCUCGGCCUUUAUGGAGGUUGAAAUUUUUGAAUAAUUCAAAAUUCAAACUUUUCGGUCUUCAAAAAAUCUGAAAAAAAUAUGCAAGUAAAAAAAGGAUGUUAUGUGUAUGUGUGUAAAAAUUUAGGAUAAAAUACCUUGAAAUACGAUUUGUACAAAAAAGACAAAUUCAUGACCUGAAACGAUGAAUAGUGUCAUGUGUAAAAAAGCCUAAAAUUUGUCUUUUUUGCACAGCCCUCAUUUCAUUGUAUUGUUUUCUGAAAAUUUACACACAUGUGUGUUACGCCUUCACUUAUCCCUGUAUUUUGUUUCAGAAUUUUUUGAAAUAUAAAAAUACAAAUUUUCAUGAAAUUUGAAUUUCAAAUUUAAAGGUCUCCAUGAAGCUCGGGAGCCAAAAACAAUUUCCGCUAGCUAAGCAGCUUAUAUGCGCGUGGUGGUUGGACAAGCUUUGGACGUGAUAUACGUACCAAAAGUCUGUUCAAGCAUCUCCCACGACAACAUUAUUUUCUCUGAAGAAGCAUGCAGAAAAAUCUGAGACCAAAACAACUUGUGCCAUGAAAUGUGCAUUUCAAUUUUCACAAUCAGUUUACUACUACAUUAAUGUACGUAAUUCACACCCUUAGACGUUAGAGCAUCUUCAAGCAUGCAACUAUCAUGAUAAUUGACUCAACUGAAAUUUGGCAUGUUGAAGGUAGCUUCAUCGAUUUAACAUUGUUGCAAUGCAAGACGUGAGAUGGGCAUUCCAUAAGAAUGAUGUGAGAGUUUGUUUCUCCUAGUAUUAUAAAAGGGCCAUUGCAUAACGUUGAGCUUUUUCCGGGGAGAUAUCGCAUCCCUAUUGGAGAUGAGAUGACUACCAUUGAAACAAGAGCCACCCACAUAGUUUAGAUGAGAUACUAGAAGAAAACUGAAGAAAUUGAUCUAGAAUACGUAGGUAUAGAAGGGAUAAAUGACUCACAUGUUUAUAUUGCAUGCAUACCCCGUUCGUAACUCCGGGCACAUGCACCAAGCGGCUGGAGGGGAUGAUGGCGAGGGUGGAGGUCACCAACAAGUUGGAGUAGUCACCCGUGUGGUUACUUCUCGACUUCAUCGUUCCUAUCCGGGUAGUCUCUGCCCGCGCGUUGCGGACAGACAACCAUUUAUACGCGGUACACUUUACUACUGACCUGCAGCAAUAGCAAACGUCCACGAUAGAGAAUAUCAAAGAUUUUAUGCUUGACGUUGCUUACAAAAUGAGUUGUCCAAAUAUAUUGGACGCCCUGAGGAAUGUAAAUUUCUAUUUAUUAUGAAUAAAAUAAAAUAAUGAUUUUUUCAUUUACC